RNAcentral lists this ribosomal RNA (462 nucleotides) under uncultured bacterium. Its description in RNAcentral is "partial 16S ribosomal RNA". It matches the Rfam family "Bacterial small subunit ribosomal RNA", at positions 28 to 507 of the family's 1533-position model. The record is from RNAcentral.
GACGAACGCUGGCGGCGUGCUUAACACAUGCAAGUCGAACGGUAAGGCCCUUCGGGGUACACGAGUGGCGAACGGGUGAGUAACACGUGGGUGAUCUGCCCUGCACUUUGGGAUAAGACUGGGAAACUGGGUCUAAUACCGAAUAUGACUACAGGCUGCAUGGUCUGUGGUGGCAAGCUUUUGCGGUGUGGGAUGGGCCCGCGGCCUAUCAGCUUGUUGGUGGGGUGAUGGCCUACCAAGGCGACGACGGGUAGCCGGCCGGAGCGGGUGACCGGCCACACUGGUACUGAGAGACGGCCCAGACUCCUACGGGAGGCAACGGUGGCGAAUAUUGCACAAUGGGCGCAAGCCUGAUGCAGCGACGCCGCGUGAGGGACGACGGCCUUCGGGUUGUAAACCUCUUUCAGCGCAGACGAAGCGCAAGUGACGGUAUGUGCAGAAGAAGGACCGGCCAACUACGUG